UACAGAGGGCUCAAGCGUUGUUCGGAUUCAUUGGGCGUAAAGGGUGCGUAGGCGGCGCGGUAAGUCGGGUGUGAAAUUUCGAGGCUUAACUUCGAAACUGCAUUCGAUACUGCCGUGCUAGAGGACUGGAGAGGAGACUGGAAUUUACGGUGUAGCGGUGAAAUGCGUAGAUAUCGUAAGGAAGACCAGUGGCGAAGGCGGGUCUCUGGACAGUUCCUGACGCUGAGGCACGAAGGCCAGGGGAGCAAACGGG
RNAcentral lists this ribosomal RNA (253 nucleotides) under uncultured bacterium. RNAcentral's name for it is "partial 16S ribosomal RNA". It matches the Rfam family "Bacterial small subunit ribosomal RNA", at positions 524 to 776 of the family's 1533-position model. The record is from RNAcentral.